RNAcentral lists this long non-coding RNA (696 nucleotides) under Monodelphis domestica (gray short-tailed opossum). RNAcentral describes it as "lncRNA (ENSMODG00000040492.1)". The record is from RNAcentral. Lineage: Eukaryota; Metazoa; Chordata; Mammalia; Didelphimorphia; Didelphidae.
CUCCCCUGCCGCGUGUGUUCACCCGCAUCCCAGGAGCACCAAGCAUUUGCUUAGAGGACCUAAGAGAGGCUCUAGAGUAAACUCUUGUAUACUUGAAUCUAUUAGAUGCAGAUGACGUGAAAAGGACAUUUCCCAGGCAGGAAAGGAAUAUACUGAGCUGUUUCCUCCAUCUCUAACUAUAAUCCCAGUGACAUCAUUUUUGCUGGGUCUCCCUGGUUGGAAAGACUUGACCUCAGUUCGGGUUAGAGGCCAGUCUUCUGGAUGCCAGGAGUGGGCAAGCAUCUUCUAGGAAGCCAGGGAGCUGGAGGAGUCCUACUUAAACCUCAGGCCUUAUCCUUAAUUGAAUCAAAGGGCAGAGGGACUCACAGCUCAGGAGCCAUGAAAUUUUAUCCCUGUUCAUCAUUCCUUCUUGGAGUCUUCCUCCAGGAUCAAUUCAACCAGACUCUCUGACAUUUCAGCAGAUAGAAGUUCUUGACCUCUCUGCAUCUUGGUAGGCUCAACAGAAGAAAAUCUUUGUCUUUGGGUGGGAAAGAGUGCCUGACAAUGCUGAGCCUUAUCAAAUGCUUUCUGGAACAAAAAGGAAGAGAAAGUGUUUUGGCAAAGUGGCUGUUUUGUUGUGUUGUAUUAAACCUCAAUUCUUAUUUGGCAUUUGAAAAUAGCAAUAAAUGCGUCAAAUAGAAUAAAAGAGUAAUACCA